UUUUUCUAAAUGUUACGUAGAAAAACAGUUUUAGUGAAACAAAUCCGUCGUAAACCAUUCCGAAAUGUGUAUCGAUUGAUUUGCGAAAUGCACGAGUAAAUAAUGGACCGGAUUUUCAACAAAAACAAAUGAAGUAAAGAAGUAUCUAAAUUAAUUAAGUAUCAAAUUUAAUUAUUUUGUACAACAGCAAUAAAAAAAAAAAAAACGAUCGAAUAACGUUGUACUCGUGUCGUUUUAAUAAUAUUAAAGUUACCCAGUCAAUAGAAAUACGUGCACGCUAAACAUUCUGUAAUGGAAUUAAUUCAAUAUCAUCCUCGGCUCCAGUAUAGAUAUAUUGUCAUAAUUAAUUACGCCAUGUGAGUCUUUUUUCCCACGGCUAGUGUGUUCGGCUGUAGAAGAAGAAUUAAUGUUUUUCAUCGGUCUACAAUGGAUAACAAUCGAAUAAGUACCCACUACCCAUAUAACUAUAUAAGACUAUAUUUUUCGAAGACAAUAAAUUUUAGGUGAAAAACAUUUUAUGACUGCGAUCGUUACACUGAUCUUUUCCUAAAAGUCUUGGGAAAAUGUACACUUAAACUCUUGUUGAAAUGUUAUUUCCAAAUAAACGUAUAUCGUAUA
Long non-coding RNA from Acyrthosiphon pisum (pea aphid), 618 nucleotides. RefSeq lists it as uncharacterized. The record is from RefSeq and is a predicted model, not a curated record. The transcript is spliced from 2 exons. Lineage: Eukaryota; Metazoa; Arthropoda; Insecta; Hemiptera; Aphididae.